AGGAAUGUUCUUUACAUUGUCUUUUCUCCUUCACCUUUUUUGCAAGGGUAUGCGGGUCAUCUCAAAGUAGCAGGAAUUUCAUCGUGGAUACAUCUUAUCAAUGUCAACCUUGGUUAGUGUUUUUGAACACUACUAUCUAUUCUCUGUCCCUUGUAAUUGUUUAUUAAAAUGGUCUCGAUUUAUAGUGCGAGGGGCUCCAAACUGAUUUUCAUGGAUGAUGAGCCUUCCUAUUUGUACAUGUAGAUUGUCCCUCUUUGUGUAUUUUACAGUUUAUAGGUUUUUACAGAACUUAGAUGUUUGUAGCUGAUUUCACUUGUACAUGCCCUUUUCGUACUUCUGCACCACUCCUUACUCCUUAAUGUCAUCUACUUUGUUUAUUAUGUUCACGAGGUGAGGCCAUGAAAAAGUGCUGCUUUCGCUACCCAUGAAUAUGAUUCAUUCAAGUGAGAGGCAGAAAAAUAAUGCAGAUAAUCUUUUCUCCAGUGUGUGAAAAUACCGUUAUUAAGUACCUGGUUCCUUUCAUGCAUGGUGGAAUCUUAUUGAUCCAUUCAUGGUUCUGGUUCUAACAUAUGGUGAAUGCGUGGCUAACCAAAUUUCAGCAAGUUGACGUUUGUUAUAUAUCUAAUUAAUCUUAUUGACAUGUGUUUAGGCACACUAAUUAUUAAUUUUUCCUACAGCUUCAUCCAGAAACUAUACCCCUCCAUCAACCACAAAUAGCUCAUGUUCAGAAACACAUUACUUAUUAAGUGUAUCAUCCGAGUGUUCUUCUUGAGUUCUUCUUCAAAGAAUGAAAAAAAAAUCCUAUUUCAACUUUAGAAUUGGCUACAGCAAGGUAGUAACUUGAACAUUAUUAAUUUUUGAUGGGAUGUUCAUUGUUACUUGAUGUACGCUGAGUUUUCCUUCAGACAACAAUGUUAUUUUUUCUCUAAACUAAAAUAUGUGUGUUGAGUUUGUCUAAACUCAGAAUUGAGUUUAGUUGUAAAGUUAAUAAUUUCCUUUUCAUGUAAUUGAGUUUUACUUGAAAAACAAGGUUGUUUGUUCCCUAAAACAGGAGGAUAAAGAUACGUAUGAAUGAGGUUACAAAUAAUGAACUAAGCAGUCGAGCAUUUUUCUUUUUAAAGGUUAGGGUGCUCUCUAUAAUAUUUGUUUGGGGUAUUUUUAGAACCCUUCUGUGUUCCAUAGAUUCAUUUGACCUUCGAGCCUAAAAUUAUUGCCAGUUAACCAAUUUGCUUGCACAUCUCAUGUAGUUUUUGCUAACUUCCAGGGAACCUAGGGGUACAGGCCUGCUGAUUAUACAUGGAACUAUUCCUGCUGAUAGGAUUUCUUUGUUUAAAAAUGUGAUUGGAUCAAGCUAAUUCCACCCACAUAGCAUAUACUCUAUUAGUGUGCGGGUUAUAUUAUCUCAUAAGGUUUAUUUUCUUGCCUAAGCAAUGCAUUCAUAUAUUGAUUUUUUUUUACAGUUCCCUCAACGUCAAUCUUUGUUUCCUGACCACUUUAUCUGCUAACACAUGUUCUCAAAGCAGGUUUUGGAUAGACCUAAGAUAUAGCUGUCCUGCCAGAUUGCUGUUUUUGCAAGUUACAGGAUCCAUCUUUUCCCCUUGGCACAGAGGUAGAUGGCACCUUACAGUAUAUAGUCCUUCUAAUAUGUUAUGCUCCAAUCCUGUAUUCUAUUUUCAUUCGGCUUUGAUCUUUUCCCUUUGGCAUAGAGGUAGAUGGCACCUUAUAGUAUAUAGUCCUUCUAAUGUGUUAUGCUCCAAUCCUGUAUUCUAUUGUCAUUCGGCUUUGCUAACUCUUUUGCUGAUUAUAUAUCGAUUGUUCAUCUUCCUCUUUUUAUUAAUUGCAGAGCUACUAAGAUGUUGUACCAGAUAUCAAAGCCGACCAUAGGUGUAGGCCAACUGAAAGCUUGAAAUGAGCAAUAAGUGAUUUGUGCUGGAUAAAAAGGUGUGUUGCAACUCCUUUCGUACUUUGGUAGUGCAGUAAUUUUUGUUUAAAUUGGUUUUCCUACAUGAUAUCUCCAUGCACAAAUGUGAAUGACAUGAUCGAUCUCCCCAUUCAAUGAGUAGGUUUACCUGAACUCUGAACUUGAUUCUUAUUCACUUCAUUUUGAGAAAAUACUAUGAAAACAAUCUUGAGUUGUUAAUGGAAUCAGUAUUUCAAAUGAGCUACUGACAGAGCUUUGUUUUGUCCACACUAUCCCCAUGUAGGAAAAACCCUUCCUCCCAAAUUGCUGUCAUUUAGAAAACAUCUA
Molecule: long non-coding RNA, 2248 nt
Filed under: Setaria viridis
Lineage: Eukaryota; Viridiplantae; Streptophyta; Magnoliopsida; Poales; Poaceae
Description: long non-coding RNA (SVIR_LNC001125)
Source: RNAcentral